UGUGCCCUGAAUCAAGGCCGACAGUUUGCUGUAGCUGUUGGUUUCAAACAGUGGCCAAAAUCAACUCUUCAAACGGCUUGUUGACUUUCCCUGAACUUUGAAAAGGUGAAAGUGUGUUAAGUUGGAAGUGACAUUU
This is a small nucleolar RNA of Trichomycterus rosablanca, 136 nucleotides long. The record is from RefSeq and is a predicted model, not a curated record. Lineage: Eukaryota; Metazoa; Chordata; Actinopteri; Siluriformes; Trichomycteridae.